RNAcentral lists this ribosomal RNA (618 nucleotides) under uncultured fungus. RNAcentral describes it as "eukaryotic LSU rRNA". The stretch from base 207 to 360 matches the Rfam family "5.8S ribosomal RNA". Lineage: Eukaryota; Fungi. The record is from RNAcentral.
UCCGUAGGUGAACCUGCGGAAGGAUCAUUACAUAUUAAGCAAAGCCGGGUACAAGAGCCACCGCUUCGGCGCAACUCUGUCCUGGUCGCGCGAAUAUUCACCCAUGUUUUUGCGUACUUCUUGUUUCCUUGGUGGGCUCGCCCGCCAUAGGACAACCAUUAAACCUUUUGUAAUUGCAGUCAGCGUCAGUAAAAUGUAAUCGUUACAACUUUCAACAACGGAUCUCUUGGUUCUGGCAUCGAUGAAGAACGCAGCGAAAUGCGAUAAGUAGUGUGAAUUGCAGAAUUCAGUGAAUCAUCGAAUCUUUGAACGCACAUUGCGCCCAUUGGUAUUCCAAUGGGCAUGCCUGUUCGAGCGUCAUUUGUACCCUCAAGCUUUGCUUGGUGUUGGGCGUCUUGUCUCCAGUCCGCUGGAGACUCGCCUUAAAGUCAUUGGCAGCCGGCCUACUGGUUUCGGAGCGCAGCACAAGUCGCACUCUUUUCCAGCCAAGGUCAGCGUCCAACAAGCCUUUUUUCAACUUUUGACCUCGGAUCAGGUAGGGAUACCCGCUGAACUUAAGCAUAUCAAUAAGCGGAGGGAAGUCGGACUGGCCAAGGGGCACACCAGGGGGGGGGGAUA